UGGAGUAAAAGGUGUACAUGUUUAUGGGCAAAAUGGAACCCUUGGAUGUUGUAGAACACAAAUGGAGAGAAGUUGGACCGGAAGAGAAGGAUUUGGAUCACUAAAUUUAUUUACGAAGUAGGGUAAAUGACCCUGUCAGGUGACUGACGAACUGAAUGUCGAGUUUCAGAGAAAUUCAGACAAAUGAAAGAAAGGAUUCAAAAUAUGACUAUACUAGGAUGAUUAUCUCGGGUCAGAGCAAAAAUAAAACUUGGAGAGUCCAAGUUUAUCUACAACAUUGCUUAAGGGACCGUGAAGCCGUCGGAUUGCAAAUCGACCGUGAAAAGGCUCUGAAGUUUCUGAUGAAAGAAGAAAGGGAGGACGGGUGAUAGGGUCGAGCUUGACGUGUCGCCGCUGGCGCUCUCGGUCGCCCGCCAGCGUGGCAGCUACGCCACCUCCUUGCCACGCGAGUCCCUAGCUAGACCACGGUGUCGCCCAUGCGUGCGGUAAAACGUUCAUAUAUCUACUGCUCUCGCGCCGCCCCUUUUACCGCCGCUCUUUUUCACCGCCGCCGCUCCUUCUGUCCAAGCCGCCGCUGCCGGGUAAAAUUCUCCCACCACACCACAACUCCCGUCGAUUCCUCUCGCCCACUCCUCCACAGAUACCCCAGCUACACCCCAGUCGAGUCGUUGUCCAGCAUCUUUGCCAGUAUACCCUACGCCGCCGUUGUUUCUGUCCGCCGUCGCCGC
This 728-nucleotide long non-coding RNA is filed under the name Setaria viridis. Its description in RNAcentral is "long non-coding RNA (SVIR_LNC000187)". Lineage: Eukaryota; Viridiplantae; Streptophyta; Magnoliopsida; Poales; Poaceae. The record is from RNAcentral.